RNAcentral lists this ribosomal RNA (254 nucleotides) under uncultured bacterium. Its description in RNAcentral is "partial 16S ribosomal RNA". It matches the Rfam family "Bacterial small subunit ribosomal RNA", at positions 524 to 776 of the family's 1533-position model. The record is from RNAcentral.
UACGGAGGGUGCGAGCGUGGUCCGGAAUCAUUGGGCGUAAAGGGCGCGUAGGUGGCCCGGUCAGUUCGUGGUGAAAGCGCGGGGCUCAACCCUGCGUCGGCCAUGAAUACUGCCGCGGCUGGAGCACUGUAGAGGCAGGCGGAAUUCCAGGUGUAGCGGUGAAAUGCGUAGAUAUCUGGAGGAAUACCGGUGGCGAAGGCGGCAUCCUGGACCGACAUUGACGCUGAGGAGCGAAAGCUAGGGGAGCAAACAGG